RNAcentral lists this long non-coding RNA (953 nucleotides) under Homo sapiens (human). RNAcentral's name for it is "non-protein coding lnc-ZNHIT6-1:2". The record is from RNAcentral. Lineage: Eukaryota; Metazoa; Chordata; Mammalia; Primates; Hominidae.
CCUGCUAGUAAUCGACGACAUUAGGCAAGAGAAACAGCGGCUCCUCAAGUCCUGCCCAAAGACCGUCCAGAAACCCCAGCCUCCCGUCGCCUUCUCGCCGCCUCCGCUGGGAGCCGCAGAUCAGUCCAAGUUGACGGACAGGAGGCGAAAUGUGCAAAUGUUUAUGGUUUCAUCUGUAUGGAAAAGGAGCUCUGGUAACUUUGGCCAAGACUUUUCAGUAGGAAAUGCUUCAAAAUACAAAGCAAGAGCUAUUUUCAAGAAAGACCUUCUAAAUUUAUAUUAGGAUUAAGCGUCUGUAACGUUGCCACUCGUCGCUGAGGCUCCUGGUUUCAGCAUGUCUCCUUGGUUCCCAGCCAGCUCUGGGUGUUCAGGUAGCAGCUGUGGCUGGGAGUGUCUCUCCAGUCCACAUUCCUUGGCCAUGAAUUUUGCAGCCCUGUUUAUCUGAUGAAGACCUCCCAGUAGUGAAUUGCUCAUGACAUUGUCACACAGACCUUAAUGAAUGAUAUGGAAAGAUACUGAAUAUUUUUCCUCCCGGAAUGCCAACCAAGCUUCAGUGUCCCAGCGCCUUCAUUCCAGCUGAUCAUGGCAAAGGCUUGGUACUGAGAUCCAGUGAGACCUUUGUCCUACAAAAACCACAUUCUCACUGGAUGCCUACAAGUCCUCUCUAUGGGACUGUUACCCAAGCCUGUUUACAGAAUUUUCAACAAUUACAUCUGCCCAUUUGCUGAGUCUCACUUCUCUGCACUAAUUGUUGACUUCAAUUUAUAUUUUUAAUGUACAAAUGCUAUCACCAACUUCAGUGCAUGAAGACCUCUCUUUCUUCUCUUCAAACCCAUGACUUUGCUUGGAAUAACAGGGAUGGCUUUAUGGCAUGGCUUUCUCAUUAUUUCAUGUGUCUUCAUUUUGCUUUCCCAAGCCAGAUUGUAAAUUCCUUGAAAGAGGAGACCCUGAAA